This 253-nucleotide ribosomal RNA is filed under the name uncultured bacterium. Its description in RNAcentral is "partial 16S ribosomal RNA". It matches the Rfam family "Bacterial small subunit ribosomal RNA", at positions 524 to 776 of the family's 1533-position model. The record is from RNAcentral.
UACGUAGGGGGCUAGCGUUGUCCGGAAUCAUUGGGCGUAAAGCGCGUGUAGGCGGCUCGAUAAGUCCGCUCUGAAAGCCCGGGGCUCAACCCCGGGAGGCGGGUGGAUACUGUCGAGCUCGAGUCCGGAAGAGGCAAGUGGAAUUCCCGGUGUAGCGGUGAAAUGCGCAGAUAUCAGGAAGAACACCUAUGGCGAAAGCAGCUCUCUGGGACGGUACUGACGCUGAGACGCGAAAGCGUGGGGAGCGAACAGG